GCCCUUGUAGCUCAGUUGGCAGAGCGCGUUCUUGGUAAGAACGAGGCCUCCGGUUCGAUCCCGGACAAGGGCU
Molecule: transfer RNA, 73 nt
Filed under: Candidatus Microgenomates bacterium
Lineage: Bacteria; Candidatus Microgenomatota
Description: tRNA-Thr
Source: RNAcentral